GCCUGGAGUAACGUUCUGUGGUCUGGAAGUUCGAUCUGAAGUUCCAUAAAAUGGUGGCUGUUUCAAGGUUGUGAGAGUGAUACGAUGGUCACCAUGAGUCGGAGCAGAAGACCCCGUGUUUCCCCAAGAGAGGAGGCCAACAAAUGGUGUGGAAUUGGAUCUGACCAGGAAGGAUUUGAAAUAAAGUUCAUCAAUAAAUCUAUAGGCUAUGGACUUUACACAACAAGGCAGUUUGAGAAGGACAGCUUUCUCCUAGAAUAUAGGGGUGUGCUAAGUGUAGCAUCUGAGGACACUGAAAACGAAGAAUACACCUUUCAUUUCAAGCAUCAGGGGGCUGA
Molecule: long non-coding RNA, 338 nt
Organism: Lytechinus pictus (painted urchin)
Lineage: Eukaryota; Metazoa; Echinodermata; Echinoidea; Temnopleuroida; Toxopneustidae
Exons: 3
Source: RefSeq, a predicted model, not a curated record